CCAGGAAUUAGGAGGAUAUACAUAAUUAACAAUUUAAUUAAGUCAUAAAAUUCCAGAUUGACUAUUACUAUGAUUUAUAGUAAUGUAAUUGAAUCACUAUCUUAGAUCAAUGCCAAAAGGGAUAGCAGUAAGUAAAUUAAUCAUGAGGCAUUAUCACCCCCAGUGGACAGAGCAGUGGGUGAUAAUCGGAGGCAUCUGUCUAAAACUGUCCAUGCAAACAGACAGAAAGUGGCUCUGGCAAAAAUCAUAUCCAUAUAUCCUCAGACAUGGCAAAAGUCAUGGGACACAAUAUAUACUAGUUCCUAACCAAUGAUCACCAUUACUAAGCUGUUCAUGAUACAUUACUGUAUAAUUUCACUGUUUAUUUUGUUGCACUUUCCCGUAUCUCAUCCUCAUUGGUCACAUUUAGUUCCUAGAGGAGAGCAAGGCCUCCCUGGUCUACCAGGCUUUCCCGGCAAUGAUGGACCUCAAGGACCAAAAGGAGAAAGAGGAGAUGCUGCCUACAUGAGCCUCAAAAGAAAGAGAAGAAGCCGGGGGUUUAAGAGUAAUUAAUUCAUAUGGAUACAGAAGAAGAGAGGAACUCAUGGUGCAGCUGGCAAUAAAAACCUUUUUUAAUGUUUUAUAAAAAUCCCAAGAAUGAUCUGUAAACAUAUGAUCUGUAAACUGUGUUUUUAUGAAAAGUUAUUGUACAAUCUUUUAAAUGUGAACAAAAAUAAUUAAUCUGAGGUUAAAUUGUCUUUCUUUAAACACGUUGAACACAGCCUGACACAGAGAUAUUCAACUUACAGCUCUGGAAAAAAAUAAGAGACCACUUCAGUUUCUGAAUCAGUUUAUCUGAUUUUGCUAUUUUAUAGGUUUAUGUUUGAGUAAAAUGAACAUUGUUGUUUUAUUCUAUAAACUACAGACAACAUUUCUCCCAAAAUGUAUUUGCAUAAAAUGAGAAAUGGCUGAAAUAACAAAAAAGAUGCAGAGCUUUCAGACCUCAAAUAAUGCAAAAAAAAAAACAAACAAGU
This 1013-nucleotide long non-coding RNA is filed under the name Astyanax mexicanus (Mexican tetra). RNAcentral's name for it is "lncRNA (ENSAMXG00005001515.1)". Lineage: Eukaryota; Metazoa; Chordata; Actinopteri; Characiformes; Acestrorhamphidae. The record is from RNAcentral.